CAGUAGCCACGGUAAGACAGAGGAUGCAAGCGUUGUCCGGAAUUAUUGGGCGUAAAGGGCUCGCAGGCGGUUUCUUAAGUCUGAUGUGAAAGCCCCCGGCUCAACCGGGGAGGGUCAUUGGAAACUGGGAAACUUGAGUGCAGAAGAGGAGAGUGGAAUUCCACGUGUAGCGGUGAAAUGCGUAGAGAUGUGGAGGAACACCAGUGGCGAAGGCGACUCUCUGGUCUGUAACUGACGCUGAGGAGCGAAAGCGUGGGGAGCGAACAGGAUUAGAUACCCGCGUAGUCCCUGUCUCUUAUAC
Molecule: ribosomal RNA, 301 nt
Filed under: uncultured bacterium
Lineage: Bacteria
Description: partial 16S ribosomal RNA
Rfam family: Bacterial small subunit ribosomal RNA
Source: RNAcentral